This 230-nucleotide ribosomal RNA is filed under the name uncultured bacterium. RNAcentral's name for it is "partial 16S ribosomal RNA". It matches the Rfam family "Bacterial small subunit ribosomal RNA", at positions 565 to 791 of the family's 1533-position model. The record is from RNAcentral.
GCGUGCGCAGGCGGUUUUGUUAAGACUGUCGUGAAAUACCCCGGGCUCAACCUGGGAAUGGCGAUGGUGACUGCAAGGCUAGAGUUUGGCAGAGGGGGGUAGAAUUCCACGUGUAGCAGUGAAAUGCGUAGAUAUGUGGAGGAACACCGAUGGCGAAGGCAGCCCCCUGGGUCAAAAACUGACGCUCAUGCACGAAAGCGUGGGGAGCAAACAGGAUUAGAUACCCCGGU